Long non-coding RNA from Choloepus didactylus (southern two-toed sloth), 326 nucleotides. RefSeq lists it as uncharacterized. The record is from RefSeq and is a predicted model, not a curated record. The transcript has 2 exons. NCBI's taxonomy places the organism in Eukaryota, Metazoa, Chordata, Mammalia, Pilosa, Megalonychidae.
GAUCUCUGCUGACCUCUUCGCAUAGACUGUGUAAACGAAGUGCUGGACUUUUCCUGAAAGCUGCAAAAAUUAAUGGUUUAGAUAUAUUUAUAAUAAACUGAUUUAAACUUUUUCUAUAAGAAGAAAAAUUAAGACCACUUAUUUGAAAACAAAGAUGAAGUCUCACCUUCCAAUUGGCUUUCUCAUUAGUUCCUUCCAAAGUUAAAUCUUAAAGCUGUGACUGACAUUUUUCUCAUAAUGAAAAUGACCCCUCUCAGGACAUUGUGUAGCCUGUGGUUCUCUGUAUUGUAAUAACCAACCCCCAAAUCAUUGAACUGCUCUUAAAA